AUACGUAGGUGGCGAGCGUUGUCCGGAAUUAUUGGGCGUAAAGGGAGCGCAGGUGGGAAAGUAAGUCUGCUUUAAAAGUGCGGGGCUCAACCCCGUGAGGGAGUGGAAACUAUUUUUCUUGAGUGCAGGAGAGGAAAGCGGAAUUCCUAGUGUAGCGGUGAAAUGCGUAGAUAUUAGGAGGAACACCAGUGGCGAAGGCGGCUUUCUGGACUGUAACUGACACUGAGGCUCGAAAGCCAGGGGAGCGAACGGGAUUAGAUACCCCGGUAGUCCUGGCCGUAAACGAUGGAUACUAGGUGUAGGAGGUAUCGACCCCUUCUGUGCCGGAGUUAACGCAAUAAGUAAUCCACCUGGGGAGUACGCCGGCAACGGUGAA
RNAcentral lists this ribosomal RNA (376 nucleotides) under uncultured bacterium. Its description in RNAcentral is "bacterial SSU rRNA". It matches the Rfam family "Bacterial small subunit ribosomal RNA", at positions 523 to 898 of the family's 1533-position model. The record is from RNAcentral.